Molecule: ribosomal RNA, 446 nt
Filed under: uncultured bacterium
Lineage: Bacteria
Description: partial 16S ribosomal RNA
Rfam family: Bacterial small subunit ribosomal RNA
Source: RNAcentral
GUGAGGAAUAUUGGUCAAUGGGCGCAAGCCUGAACCAGCCAUCCCGCGUGCAGGAAGACGGCGCUAUGCGUUGUAAACUGCUUUUCCAGGGGGAGAAACUUGCGCACGUGUUGCGCAAUUGACGGUACCCUGGGAAUAAGCAUCGGCUAACUCCGUGCCAGCAGCCGCGGUAAUACGGAGGAUGCGAGCGUUAUCCGGAUUCAUUGGGUUUAACGGGUGCGUAGGCGGACUAUUAAGUCAGUGGUGAAAUCCUGCAGCUUAACUGCAGAACUGCCAUUGAUACUGAUAGCCUUGAGUUUGGUUAAGGUAGGCGGAAUGUGUAAUGUAGCGGUGAAAUGCUUAGAUAUUACACAGAACACCAAUUGCGUAGGCAGCUUACUGAGCCGACACUGACGCUGAGGCACGAAAGCGUGGGGAUCGAACAGGAUUAGAUACCCUGGUAGUCC